UUUUAUGGAGAGUUUGAUCCUGGCUCAGGAUGAACGCUGGCGGCGUGCCUAAUACAUGCAAGUCGAGCGAACAGACGAGGAGCUUACUCCUCUGACGUUAGCGGCGGACGGGUGAGUAACACGUGGAUAACCUACCUAUAAGACUGGGAUAACUUCGGGAAACCGGAGCUAAUACCGGAUAACAUGUUGA
Molecule: ribosomal RNA, 190 nt
Filed under: Staphylococcus capitis
Lineage: Bacteria; Bacillati; Bacillota; Bacilli; Caryophanales; Staphylococcaceae
Description: partial 16S ribosomal RNA
Rfam family: Bacterial small subunit ribosomal RNA
Source: RNAcentral